UUCAAAUCUCUCUGAGUGAUGGGUGCUGGGUUUCAAUCCCACCUGACCACAACUCCUUUGUCAUUGUUGGUGAUUCCUUGCAGAAUGGGCUUAAUAUGGUGGACCCAAUUGAGAAUGGGAGAGCAGCAGUAUUGCAAAAGUUGUGGUGAAGUACAGUUGCAUCUCUGGAAGGAGGCUAGGUUGCUUGGAGUUGUUUGAAUCAUGGGAUGAGGCAUCAACCUUCACGUUGCUUACCAUGUAAUCAUUGUUGAUGGUUCGUGGAACCCUACUUAUGAUCUUCAGGCUCAGGUUUGGAGGUAUGGGCAAACAAAGCCAGUUUAUGCAUAUCGUUUGAUGGCACAUGGAACUAUGGAAAAAAUAUAUAAACGGCAGGUGACAAAAGAGGGACUUGCUGCAAAGGGUGGUUGAUAGGCAACAAAUACAUCGGACCAUUUUUAAGUAAGGUC
Molecule: long non-coding RNA, 446 nt
Organism: Magnolia sinica
Lineage: Eukaryota; Viridiplantae; Streptophyta; Magnoliopsida; Magnoliales; Magnoliaceae
Exons: 4
Source: RefSeq, a predicted model, not a curated record